Molecule: long non-coding RNA, 237 nt
Filed under: Volvox carteri
Lineage: Eukaryota; Viridiplantae; Chlorophyta; Chlorophyceae; Chlamydomonadales; Volvocaceae
Description: long non-coding RNA (VCAR_LNC000603)
Source: RNAcentral
UUAUUACGCACGCGCGGUGUAUGUGAUGCGUGUCCGCGAAUGCGAAUUGAUCCGACAAUCUUUGCGACGAUCGAAGCCCGAAUUGGACGUACGAUUACGUUUGACGCUUGUGCAAGUGACGAUUGCAACACCGCCGUCUGUAAAUCCUUUGGAUCAGAAUCACGUCACUUUCUGUAGCUUGAUUGCUCCGGCCACACCUUAUGGCUUAGUCUGUCAGUUAAAGAGCUUCACGCUUAC